CCUACGGGAGGCAGCAGUAGGGAAUUUUGCGCAAUGGGGGAAACCCUGACGCAGCAACGCCAUGUGUGGGAUGAAGCAUUUCGGUGUGUAAACCACUGUCAGCGGGGAAUAUGUACCCGCAAAGGAAGCCCCGGCUAACUUCGUGCCAGCAGCCGCGGUAAUACGAGGGGGGCAAAUGUUGUUCGGAAUCACUGGGCGUAAAGGGAGCGUAGGCGGGUUCUUAAGUAAGGUGUUUAAUCCCGGGGCCCAACCCCGGACCGGCACUUUAAACUGGGAAUCUUGAAUAGUGGAGAGGUCGGUGGAAUUGGAGGUGUAGCGGUGGAAUGCGUAGAGAUCUCCAAGAACACCAGUUGCGAAGGCGGCCGACUGGACACAAUUGACGCUGAGGCUCGAAAGCAUGGGGAGCAAACAGGAUUAGAUACCCUUGUAGUC
This 432-nucleotide ribosomal RNA is filed under the name uncultured bacterium. Its description in RNAcentral is "partial 16S ribosomal RNA". It matches the Rfam family "Bacterial small subunit ribosomal RNA", at positions 338 to 795 of the family's 1533-position model. The record is from RNAcentral.